UACAGGGCACAUUGAUGCAUUCCUGCCUCGA
Molecule: non-coding RNA, 31 nt
Filed under: Homo sapiens (human)
Lineage: Eukaryota; Metazoa; Chordata; Mammalia; Primates; Hominidae
Source: RNAcentral